RNAcentral lists this long non-coding RNA (4600 nucleotides) under Capsella rubella. RNAcentral describes it as "long non-coding RNA (CRUB_LNC002655)". Lineage: Eukaryota; Viridiplantae; Streptophyta; Magnoliopsida; Brassicales; Brassicaceae. The record is from RNAcentral.
UUUUUGCCGCCUCCUUUCUCUCUUUUCUCCUCUUCUUCCCUUUUCUCUUCUCAGUUCUGCACCUCUCUGUUUCUUUUACUUCCAGCAGUCACUCAUCAUGGCCCAAAACAAUGAUACUGUUGCUAUUCAUGAAGCUCUCAACGUCAAUAUGAUCAACAUCACCAAACUCACUUCUCACAACUACAUCACAUGGAGUCUGCAAGUUCACUCCCUGCUUGAUGGACACGAUCUUGCUGGCUUUCUUGAUGGUACCACUCCAGCUCCAGAACAGAUCCUCACUACUGACAACCAGACUACGACAAACCCAGCCUAUACCAAGUGGCGCCGACAAGACAAACUGAUCUAUAGCGGCCUCAUUGGGACGCUCUCCCCAACCAUUCAACCUGUUGUCACCAAGACCAAGACUGCAGCAGAACUGUGGACCAAACUUGCUGCAACCUAUGCUAAUCCUAGUUGGGGACACAUUCAACAACUGCGUCUACAACUAAAGCAAUUACCCAAAGGAGAAAAGAGUGUGGAUGACUACAUGCAAGGCCUCACAACUCGAUUUGACCAGCUUGCACUCCUUGGUAAACCGCUUGAGCAUGAGGAACAAGUGGAGUUCAUCCUUGGGGGUCUUCCUGAAGAUUACAAAUCUGUUGUUGAACAGAUUGAAGGACGUGAAAAGCCUCCUUCUCUCACUGAAAUUCAUGAGAAGUUGCUUACCAGAGAAGCAAAACUCCUGAUUGCUGCCUCAUCGGUCUCUGCCAGUGUUCCCAUCUCAGCGAAUGUUGCCACUUCUCGCUCACAACAGUCGCGCUCCUAUUAAAACAAACAAAAUCAGUAGCAGCAUCAGCCAUGGAAUAACAACAGCAACCAACAAUACCAGUCAAACAGAUCAGACAACCGUGGUUCCCGUGGUUAUCAAGGCAAGUGCCAACUCUGUGGAGUCUUUGGACACAGUGCCAAAAGGUGUAGUCAGCUCCAACAAUACAAUCCCACUCCUCAGAACAGCCUGCUUCCAACACCAUUUCGUCCUUGGCAACCGCGUGCUAACUUUGCAGCCACUACUUCAAACCCCUCCAACCCUUGGGUAAUGGACAGUGGCUCCACUCAUCAUCUCACCAGUGAUCUUCACAACAUGUCCUUGCAUCAGCCCUACAAUGGUGGUGACAAUGUUCUUAUUGGCGAUGGGACUGGUCUUCCCAUCACUCACACUGGUUCAACUAUCCUCCCUACUGCUACUCGCAAUUUAUCUCUUCAUCAUGUCUUGUGUGUUCCUAAUAUACAGAAAAAUCUCAUCUCUGUAUAUCGUCUAUGCAAUGCUAAUAAGGUUUCUGUUGAAUUUUUUCCUGCCCACUUUCAGGUGAAGGAUUUGAGCUCGGGGGUCCCGUUAAUCCAAGGCAAGACCAGCAAUGAGCUUUACGAGUGGCCAAUUUCCCUAUCCACCCUUAAAUCCUUCUUCACCUCCACCACACAAGCAAUAACCUUGGAUGAUUGGCACUGUCGUCUUGGUCACCCAUCUACCUAUAUCACCAAAACCAUUGUUUCUCGUUCUUUACUACCCUACAAACCAUCUGUACCCUCCUCUACUUUAUGUUCUGAUUGUUCUAUCAAUAAAGCACACAAACUACCUUUUUCUCAAAGUUCUAUUUCUUCUUCUCGUCCCUUGGAAUACAUCUUUACAGACCUUUGGAGUUCUCCUAUUGUUUCUGUUGACAAUUACAAGUAUUACCUUGUACUUGUUGAUCACUACAGCAGAUACACAUGGCUAUACCCUCUGAAACUCAAAUCUCAAGUCCGUGAAACAUUUCAAGCAUUCAAGGCGCUUGUCGAAAACCGGUUCUCCACCAAGAUAGGCACUCUCUACUCCGACAAUGGUGGCGAGUUUAUAGCUCUCCGGGGGCUUCUCUCUGCUGCCGGCAUCUCACAUCUCACAUCACCACCACACACACCCGAACACAACGGUGUCUCUGAACGAAAGCACAGACAUGUAGUGGAGACAGGCCUCACAUUACUCACACAUGCUGGAAUGCCAAAAUCCUACUGGUCGUAUGCCUUAACCGCCGCCACAUACCUCAUCAAUCGACUCCCCACACCCGUCAUAGCCAUGGAAACACCAUUUCAAAGACUGUUUGGUACAACUCCAAAUUACUCCAAACUCAGAGUAUUUGGAUGUCUAUGCUUCCCAUGGAUUCGCCCUUACACAAGUAACAAGCUUGAAGACCGCUCCACACCAUGUGUCUUUCUCGGUUACUCGCAGACCCAAAGUGCAUACCUCUGCCUGCAACAAAAUUCCGGUCGCAUAUACACAUCUCGCCAUGUGAAAUUCGAUGAGAGAGUGUUCCCUUUUGCAAAACCCAGAAAUCCUCCCACACCGCUGAGCCAUGAAACACCAACCCCAUCAAACACACCACCAGUCACCACAGUACCCAUCAAUCCAAAUCUUCAACCACCGAUUCAGCCCUCACCUACACCGUCGCUCGUUUUGCCGUCGCUCGUCUUGCCUCCGACGCCGGGACCACCAAGCUCUGAUUCUCACCGGGCAAGAGACUCUUCGACAUCAACCCCAACGCGUACACAUGACUCACAAGAUUCUCGAGUUUCCUUCACCAACGAUGGGCUUUCUUCAAGUUCAGGCCCAUCAACGGCCCGUUCAAACAUCACGCCCACAGCCAGCCCGUUAUCAAGUUCAGGCCCAAAUCCACCACAAUCUCCUACGCCUGAAGCUUCUUCUCCAUCUGCGACAUCGAGUGUUGCUCCCCAAGCUCACAGUCCCGAUCAUGCUCCACCUGCAAAUCAUCACCAAAUGGUCACUCGUCGGAAGAACAAUAUCACCAAACCAAAUCCGAAGUAUAACUAUGCAGCUGCACUCUCCAAAAGUAUCCCCGUCGAACCCAAUACAGUGAAGCAAGCUCUACAAGAUGAACGGUGGCGAGGAGCAAUGUCUGGUGAAAUGGAUGCCUUUACUCGGAAUCAGACAUUCUACCUGGUUCCAAGAGAAUCCCACUACAAUGUGGUUGGUUGUAAGUGGAUUUACAAGAAUAAAUUUCUGUCUAAUGGGUCUCUUGACAGGUGCAAAGCUCGGUUGGUGGCUAAGGGCUAUAAUCAACAAUAUGGUUAUGAUUAUACUGACACGUUCAGUCCUGUUAUCAAGUCAACCACAAUCAGACUCGUUCUUGAUGUUGCCGUAACAAACUCGUGGCCAAUUCUCCAACUUGAUGUCAACAAUGCCUUCCUCCAAGGCACAUUAACGGAGGAAGUUUACAUGGAACAACCACCUGGUUUCGUUGACAAAGACAAGCCGAAUCAUGUAUGUCGACUCCGUAAGGCAAUUUACGGCUUAAAGCAAGCACCACGGGCAUGGUACACAGAACUUCGCACCUUUCUCGUUAGUCUUGGCUUUGUGAACUCCAUAUCCGACACAUCUCUGUUUGUGUUAAAAGUCCGGAAUGCUUUUGUCUAUCUCCUAGUCUAUGUCGAUGACAUCCUAAUCACAGGGAGUAGCAAACACGGAAUACAACGUAUUCUACAACUCCUAGCUGAUCGUUUCUCCGUUAAAGAUGCAGAAGACCUCAAUUAUUUUCUUGGAAUUGAAGCACGCCGAACAUCUAACGGCCUACACCUCUGCCAACGGAAGUACAUUCUCGAUCUUCUCCAUCGUUAUGACAUGACAAAUGCCAAGCCAGUUCUCACACCAAUGGCUUCCUCGCCCAAGCUGACGCUUACCACCGGUGUUCCGUUGGAUGAUCCCAAAGAAUAUCGCCAACUGGUUGGCAGUCUCCAAUACCUAGCCUUUACUCGAUUGAAUAUUGCGUAUGCUGUCAACCGCCUCUCACAGUUCAUGCACCGUCCCACACAAGAUCAUUGGCAAGCGGCCAAGCGCAUUCUCCGUUACCUAGCUGGGACGAUCACGCACGGUAUUUUCUUCUCCGCAACAAAUAAGCUCACUCUCCAUGCUUACUCGGAUGCCGACUGGGCUGGUGACUCACAUGACUAUGUCUCCACCAAUUCCUACAUUGUUUAUCUCGGCAAACAUCCCAUCUCUUGGACAGCAAAGAAGCAAAAGGGUGUAGCAAGAUCCUCCACCGAAGCGGAAUACCGAGCAGUGGCUAACGUUGCAUCGGAGUUAACUUGGGUAUGUAACAUUCUCACUGAACUUGGAAUCCCAAUACCAGCCACGCCUAUUGUUUACUGUGAUAACGUUGGAGCUACAUUUCUUUGUGCAAAUCCGGUGUUUCACUCUCGCAUGAAACACAUUGCCAUUGAUUAUCACUUUGUUCGUGGUCAAGUUCAACAAGGUGCCUUACAAGUACGACAUGUCAAUACAACAGACCAGUUGGCCGACGCAUUAACGAAGCCACUCUCCAGGGCCCGAUUCAUCUAUCUCAGAAACAAGAUUGGAGUCUCUCCGGUACCUCCAUCUUGAGGGGGCGUGUUAGAGAUACGAUUAAGAUUCUCACUAAUGUCUCAAUAUUUGAUUAGUCUCUUUAAGGAACAUUCUGUAAUUAGCUUACCCUAAGAGUUCCUCUUCUCUGUCUGUAUAAAUAAGGAUCUGUACAAUACAUUGUAAAAUAUGCAGUAAUAUAUCAUUCAUAUCCAGUGUCGACCACGAAACACA